This 272-nucleotide ribosomal RNA is filed under the name uncultured prokaryote. RNAcentral's name for it is "partial 16S ribosomal RNA". It matches the Rfam family "Bacterial small subunit ribosomal RNA", at positions 524 to 794 of the family's 1533-position model. The record is from RNAcentral.
UACGUAGGUGGCGAGCGUUGUCCGGAUUUACUGGGCGUAAAGGGAGCGUAGGCGGACUUUUAAGUGAGAUGUGAAAUACCCAGGCUUAACUUGGGUGCUGCAUUUCAAACUGGAAGUCUAGAGUGCAGGAGAGGAGAAUGGAAUUCCUAGUGUAGCGGUGAAAUGCGUAGAGAUUAGGAAGAACACCAGUGGCGAAGGCGAUUCUCUGGACUGUAACUGACGCUGAGGCUCGAAAGCGUGGGGAGGCAAACAGGAUUAGAUACCCCGUACGU